GAAGGCGAUCUUAGCAAUUCGCAACUCGGGGCCGUAGACUGCUUUGGUCUUUCCUUUGUGUUCAACCAGCUAUCUUUCUAAUAAAAGUUUGGGGCUCUAAUCAGAUGCUGGAGGUUUCUAUUGAAGAUUGUCGUGCCAGGAGCAUCUGUGUGCAGUUUCCUUCCUCUUAUUAUCGUAGCUCAUCUAUGUGGAGUUCGAUUGUGGUGUGCCCUUAGUAUGUGUUCUUUUUCUGUGGUUGUGUCCUCUAUGUAUGAUUUCGCAAUGAUUAUGUCGAUGUCUA
RNAcentral lists this long non-coding RNA (280 nucleotides) under Phoenix dactylifera (date palm). RNAcentral's name for it is "long non-coding RNA (PDAC_LNC006785)". The record is from RNAcentral. Lineage: Eukaryota; Viridiplantae; Streptophyta; Magnoliopsida; Arecales; Arecaceae.